UACGAAGGGGGCUAGCGUUGCUCGGAAUCACUGGGCGUAAAGGGUGCGUAGGCGGGUUUUUAAGUCAGGGGUGAAAUCCUGGAGCUCAACUCCAGAACUGCCUUUGAUACUGAAGAUCUUGAGUCCGGGAGAGGUGAGUGGAACUGCGAGUGUAGAGGUGAAAUUCGUAGAUAUUCGCAAGAACACCAGUGGCGAAGGCGGCUCACUGGCCCGGUACUGACGCUGAGGCACGAAAACGUGGGGAGCAAACAGG
This 253-nucleotide ribosomal RNA is filed under the name uncultured bacterium. Its description in RNAcentral is "partial 16S ribosomal RNA". It matches the Rfam family "Bacterial small subunit ribosomal RNA", at positions 524 to 776 of the family's 1533-position model. The record is from RNAcentral.